AUUUAAGUAGUUUAAGCAAAAUAUUGAUUUGUGGUGUCAAAGAUGUGGAUUUAUCUAUUUUAAAUA
Molecule: transfer RNA, 66 nt
Filed under: Sinopyrophorus schimmeli
Lineage: Eukaryota; Metazoa; Arthropoda; Insecta; Coleoptera; Elateridae
Description: Elateridae sp. JWH-2018 tRNA-His
Rfam family: tRNA
About the family: Transfer RNA (tRNA) molecules are approximately 80 nucleotides in length. Their secondary structure includes four short double-helical elements and three loops (D, anti-codon, and T loops).
Source: RNAcentral